GAUGAAGAACGUAGUGAAAUGCGAUAGGUAAUGUGAAUUGCAGAAUUCAGUGAAUCAUCGAAUCUUUGAACGCACAUUGCGCCCGCCAGUAUUCUGGCGGGCAUGCCUGUUCGAGCGUCAUUACAACCCUCAGGCCCCCGGGCCUGGCGUUGGGGAUCGGCGGAGCCCCCCGUGGGCACACGCCGUCCCCCAAAUACAGUGGCGGUCCCGCCGCAGCUUCCAUCGCGUAGUAGCUAACACCUCGCGACUGGAGAGCGGCGCGGCCACGCCGUAAAACACCCAACUCUUCUGAAGUUGACCUCGAAUCAGGUAGGAAUACCCGCUGAACUUAAGCAUAUCAAUAAGCGGAGGA
Molecule: unclassified non-coding RNA, 352 nt
Filed under: soil metagenome
Description: partial contains 5.8S ribosomal RNA, internal transcribed spacer 2, and large subunit ribosomal RNA
Rfam family: 5.8S ribosomal RNA (bases 1-120)
Source: RNAcentral